RNAcentral lists this small RNA (127 nucleotides) under Marmota monax (woodchuck). Lineage: Eukaryota; Metazoa; Chordata; Mammalia; Rodentia; Sciuridae. The record is from RNAcentral.
GCUGGGCAUGGUAGUGUAUGCCUGUAAUCCCAGCACUCUGGAGGCUGAGACAGGAGGAUCACAAGUUCAAAGCCAGCCUCAGCAACUUAGUGAGGCCCUAAGCAACUUAGCCAAGACUCUGUCUCAG